AUGCUUGCUUUGGCAGCACGAACACUGAGGUUGGGAUAACGCAGAGAAGAUUAGAGUGGUACUGUGUAAGGGUAACAUGCAAAGUGAAGCAUUC
RNAcentral lists this small nuclear RNA (94 nucleotides) under Mus pahari (shrew mouse). RNAcentral's name for it is "snRNA (MGP_PahariEiJ_G0033423.1)". Lineage: Eukaryota; Metazoa; Chordata; Mammalia; Rodentia; Muridae. The record is from RNAcentral.